UACAUUAGAUACCCGCGUAGUCCCAGCCGUAAACUAUGCUCGCUAGGUGUCAGGCAUGGCGCGACCGUGUCUGGUGCCGCAGGGAAGCCGUGAAGCGAGCCACCUGGGAAGUACGGCCGCAAGGCUGAACUUAAGGAAUUGGCGGGGAGCACAACAACGGGUGGAGCCUGCGGUUUAAUUGGACUCAACGCCGGACAACUCACCGGGAACGACAGCAAUAUGUAGGCCAGGCUGAAGACCUUGCCUGAAUCGCUG
RNAcentral lists this ribosomal RNA (255 nucleotides) under uncultured archaeon. RNAcentral's name for it is "partial 16S ribosomal RNA". It matches the Rfam family "Archaeal small subunit ribosomal RNA", at positions 725 to 982 of the family's 1478-position model. The record is from RNAcentral.